GGCGGGUCCCUGGCUCGGCUCUACCCCCAUGGAUCUAGGUGGGCUCAAUGUCAUCACAAGGGUGCUUAAGAGGGAAAGAGGAAGCCAUGAGGGUCAGAGUCAAAGGAAGACUUGAAGAUACUACACUGCGGACUUUAAAGAUGAAGGAAGGGGCGAAAACCAAGAAUGUGGGAAGCCUCUAGAAGCUAGAGAAGGCAAGGAAACAAAUUUUCCACUAGAGCCUCCAGAAGGAACACAGCCCUGCUGACCCACUGUAAUGUCUGACCUCUAGAUGUGUAAGGGUAGUAAGACUGAAAGUCUCAGAAAGGCACUGUUAAAUUCUUAUUCCUCAACUAUGCAACUCAAAACUGGGGUCCUCAGCAGUGAGCGAGGGGUGAGAGAAGACACUGUAUAAACAUGGCACAUCCUCCUGGAAAGUCAACUUUACUCAAAGGUUCUUACACACAGUGACAGCUAGCAGAGUCUAAAAUGCUGACAUUAUGACUUAGAGAUGUGAUAAAGAGAAACAUCUAUUGCAUUUUCUUGGCUCGUGUGGAAUGACUUAUCCUGGAAUUUAGAGUUGAAGAUAAUCCUGAUGCUUCAAAGAGAAGAGUUGGAACACAGUCCUUUUUUCUAAACAGAGGAAUUGUUGAAUAUGCGACUGAACCUCUGACUUAACUAAUUAGUUAAUUUGGAGCAGAGUUUGAACACAGUCCUUUUUCUAAACAGAGGAAUUGUUGAAUAUGCAACUGGUCCUCUGACUUAACUAAUUAUUUAAUUUGGAAGUUAUAGGUUUUUUAUUACUUGAGGAGCAGCUUUCUCUGAACAAAUACAGUGUCCCCUGGGGUGUCCAAAUUGUGACAGAAAAGUAGCGCCAGCUUGAAACUAGCUAGUCAUCACAUAGUGGCAUCAUGUGAAUGAAGAAUCCCCCAAAUCUGUGACCCUCUUCUAUCCUUAUGAACUAAUUCAAUAAAUAAAUGAGCACUUUCUCAGUUCCCAAACUGAGAGCAGUUUAAAAAAAUAAUGAGAGCACAGAUAUCUAUUUAGAGAGAUGGCGAGAUAGAGGAGAGAGCAAGUUGCACACCACGAAACAAAGGGAAAGAUAAGAAGAGAGAGUGUGUCACUACUUCCCCGUGGCAGAAUCACAAUCUUUUUUGGAUGUCAUGUUGAAAAGAUUCCCAAUUCGUAGUUCUGUGAGCUAAAGCAGAUGGAUGCUCCAUGUUGGUACAAAUUCCUAUUUGAAGCAGUGUGGUUGCAAAGAUGGGGUUUGGGUCAUUUGAUUUUCUCCGAAAAACAAUCUUGUGUAACUGUUAAAAGAAUUUAUAAUACCCAAUGCAAUGUAUCAUCCGUGAUGCUUCUUCAAAAAUGUUAAAUAAAUGCUGAAACCAGUGUUUCAAA
This 1377-nucleotide long non-coding RNA is filed under the name Homo sapiens (human). RNAcentral describes it as "survival associated mitochondrial melanoma specific oncogenic non-coding RNA". The record is from RNAcentral. Lineage: Eukaryota; Metazoa; Chordata; Mammalia; Primates; Hominidae.